AGGUCGUUCCGCGGAGGCACUGCGCCACUCCAAGUCCAUUCAUGAGUACGGUUGUACAGACUUGGCCCACAGAGGGUGAAAGGCCCGUGGGGGUGGUGCUGCAGAUACGAUAGUGCCUCUCUGGGUAGACCUUGGAGUCGGGUUGUUUGUGAAUGCAGCCCAAAGUGGGUGGUAAACUCCAUCCAAGGCUAAAUACUUACACGAGUCCGAUAGCGAACAAGUACCGUGAGGGAAAGUUGAAAAGUACUUUGAAGAGAGAGUAAACAGUGCGUGAAACCGCUCAGAGGUAAACGGGUGGAGUUGAACUGCGAGCCCAUAGAAUUCAGCUGGUGAGUGUGGUCUGAGCUUGUUCAGGUUGGCUGUACACUGGAGUCUGCGAAGUAGCAUGUCUCUUCCUUCUGGUGGAGAUGCGCGAGACACCUAAAUAAGUGUUGUGCGCUCCAGUUGUAUACGGGCCUACUUGCCGGUGCAUUUUCUCUGGGUGUUCACCACGACCGGCACUGCUGUCUGGCUGCUGGGGUUAAACCGAUCUUGCUCUUUGCUCGUGGCUUUGCUUGGACCGGGUGGCAGGAACCUGUUGGCUAGUCUUUUACCUGCUUUCGGGUGUAAUCAACUGACCAUUAUGGUCUGUGCAGUGUGUCGAAACGCCGCUUUUUGGUUUGAGCUCGCCUGCCUAGUCUUCUUCUUGGACAGUCUGGUGCUCUUUUUGCUUUGUUUGCAAGCUAACGAAGGCCUGCUUUGGUUGUGGCGUAGCCGGCGGGGACACUAUCAAGGCCCA
This 778-nucleotide ribosomal RNA is filed under the name Medousogyliauchen panope. Its description in RNAcentral is "eukaryotic LSU rRNA". It matches the Rfam family "Eukaryotic large subunit ribosomal RNA", at positions 151 to 620 of the family's 3401-position model. Lineage: Eukaryota; Metazoa; Platyhelminthes; Trematoda; Opisthorchiida; Gyliauchenidae. The record is from RNAcentral.